Molecule: transfer RNA, 71 nt
Filed under: bacterium
Lineage: Bacteria
Description: tRNA-Ala
Rfam family: tRNA
About the family: Transfer RNA (tRNA) molecules are approximately 80 nucleotides in length. Their secondary structure includes four short double-helical elements and three loops (D, anti-codon, and T loops).
Source: RNAcentral
GGGCCUAUAGUAAAGUGGUAUUACACAUCCAUGGCAUGGAUGGGUCGGGGGUUCGAUUCCCCCUAGGUCCA